Molecule: ribosomal RNA, 596 nt
Filed under: uncultured bacterium
Lineage: Bacteria
Description: bacterial SSU rRNA
Rfam family: Bacterial small subunit ribosomal RNA
Source: RNAcentral
CCUACGGGAGGCAGCAGUGGGGAAUUUUGCGCAAUGGGGGAAACCCUGACGCAGCAACGCCGCGUGGAGGAUGAAAUAUCUUGGUAUGUAAACUCCUUUCGAUGGGGAAGAUAAUGACGGUACCCAUAGAAGAAGCCCCGGCUAACUUCGUGCCAGCAGCCGCGGUAAUACGAGGGGGGCAAGCGUUGUUCGGAUUUAUUGGGCGUAAAGGGUGCGUAGGCGGUUUGGCAAGUCUUAUGUGAAAUCUUCGGGCUCAACCCGAAGCCUGCAUAAGAAACUGCCGGGCUUGAGUAUUGGAGAGGUGAGUGGAAUUUCCGGUGUAGCGGUGAAAUGCGUAGAUAUCGGAAGGAACACCUGUGGCGAAAGCGGCUCACUGGACAAUAACUGACGCUGAUGCACGAAAGCUAGGGGAGCAAACAGGAUUAGAUACCCUGGUAGUCCUAGCCCUAAACGAUGAUUGUUUGAUGUGGCAGGUACCCAAUCCUGCCGUGUCGAAGCUAACGCGAUAAACAAUCCGCCUGGGGAUACGGUCGCAAGGCNGAACGACGAAGAAGUAGACGGCGUGAGAGNGCGACGGACGACGACGAGGGAGGAGG